RNAcentral lists this ribosomal RNA (262 nucleotides) under uncultured bacterium. Its description in RNAcentral is "partial 16S ribosomal RNA". It matches the Rfam family "Bacterial small subunit ribosomal RNA", at positions 82 to 339 of the family's 1533-position model. The record is from RNAcentral.
UCGAGAUGACCUAGUGGCGAACGGGUGAGUAACACGUGGGCAAUCUGCCCGUAUGUCGUGGAUAACGGUUGGAAACGACAGCUAAUACAGGAUGAGCAUCCCGAAGGCAUCUUUGGGAUGUAAAAGGGGCUAAGGCCCCGCAUACGGAUGAGCCUGCGGUGCAUUAGCUAGUUGGUGAGGUAACGGCUCACCAAGGCGAUGAUGCAUAGCCGACCUGAGAGGGUGACCGGCCACAUUGGGACUGAGACACGGCCCAAACUCC